RNAcentral lists this ribosomal RNA (572 nucleotides) under uncultured bacterium. RNAcentral's name for it is "bacterial SSU rRNA". It matches the Rfam family "Bacterial small subunit ribosomal RNA", at positions 898 to 1476 of the family's 1533-position model. The record is from RNAcentral.
AAUUCAAAGGAAUUGACGGGACCCGCACAAGCGGUGGAUGAUGUGGUUUAAUUCGAUGCAACGCGAAAAACCUUACCCACCUUUGACAUGCACGGAACCCUUUGGAAACAGAGGGGUGCUCGAAAGAGAGCCGUAACACAGGUGCUGCAUGGCUGUCGUCAGCUCGUGUCGUGAGAUGUUGGGUUAAGUCCCGCAACGAGCGCAACCCUUGUCAUUAGUUGCUACGAAAGGGCACUCUAAUGAGACUGCCGGUGACAAGCCGGAGGAAGGUGGGGAUGACGUCAAGUCCUCAUGGCCCUUAUAGGUGGGGCUACACACGUCAUACAAUGGCUGGUACAGAGGGUUGCCAACCCGCGAGGGGGAGCCAAUCCCAUAAAACCAGUCGUAGUCCGGAUCGCAGUCUGCAACUCGACUGCGUGAAGUCGGAAUCGCUAGUAAUCGCGGAUCAGCAUGUCGCGGUGAAUACGUUCCCGGGUCUUGUACACACCGCCCGUCACACCAUGGGAGCGGGUUCUGCCAGAAGUAGUUAGCCUAACCGCAAGGAGGGCGAUUACCACGGCAGGUUCGUGACU